RNAcentral lists this ribosomal RNA (2254 nucleotides) under Speleorchestes sp. AD1084. Its description in RNAcentral is "partial 18S ribosomal RNA". It matches the Rfam family "Eukaryotic small subunit ribosomal RNA". The record is from RNAcentral. Lineage: Eukaryota; Metazoa; Arthropoda; Arachnida; Sarcoptiformes; Nanorchestidae.
AAGAUUAAGCCAUGCAAAUGUAAGAACAGCAAGCUGUUCGCAUCCUUGGAUCGAGCAGAAAAAGUGAAUCUGUACACGGCUCAUUAAAUCAGCUUUGGUUCAAAGAGCUUUUCAAGUUACAUGGAUAACUUUGGAAAAUCUAGAGCUAAUACAUGCCACAAGAUUUCUUUGAUUUGGGCAACUGAAUCAAGGAGAUUGCACUUAUUAGAACGAGAUCCUGUGAGUCGCUCUGCGGCUCUCAGUUACUUGUUGACUCUGGAUAAGCAAAGUCGACGUCAAAAGUGUGCAUCAUUAGAUCACACUGGACGCAUCCUUUUCAAGUGUCUGCCCUAUCAAAUUUCGAUGGUAGUCUAUAUUACUACCAUGUUGAUCACGGGUAACGGGGAAUCAGGGUUCGAUUCCGGAGAGUUAGCCUGAGAGAUGGCUAACAGAUCUAAGGAUUGCAGCAGGCGCGCAAAUUGCCCACUCUCAAUACGAGGAGGCAGUGACAAGAAAUAAUCAUGCUUUCAAAUCAUUGCAAUGCAAUGUGGGAAGCAAUGAGCAUGAGACGGUCAUAAAUCCUCUAGUCAAGGAUCAAUUGGAGGGCAAGUCUGGUGCCAGCAGCCGCGGUAAUUCCAGCUCCAAUAGCGUAUACUAAUGAUGCUGAUGCUUAAAAGCUCCUAGUUGGAUUUGUAAGUGGACACAGUGAACAUUGCUCGAUUCCGUUUGGACUUGUAAGUAUGGGCUUGCUCUGAAAGGCACAAGUACCGCUUAUGAGGAGGGAUCCAAUGUCACUGCCACUCUUUUUGGUGUGGGAAUCGAUGAGAUGGCUACCUUAUUGGCAAGUGUCUCGCGGUUUUCAUCCAAAUUCAAACUAUGUCUUCAUCUCUGUGUUGUGCUUCAUUGUCACGGCAUGAGAAGAGGCAUUGAGUUUACCUUGAAAAAAUCAAAGUGCUCAAAGCAGAUGUUCUCUUUCUCGUUCGCGGGAUUGAAAACGCAAGUCUGUAUGUUGUUGCAUGGAAUAAUGGAAUAAGAUCUCGACGAUACGUGGGGUCUUGGUCGCUCGAGAGACAUGAUUAAAAGGGACAGACGAGGGCAUUUGUAUUGCAAGGGGAGAGGUGAAAUUCAUGGAUCCUUGCAAGACAAACAAAGGCGAAAGCAUUUGCCAAGAAUGUUUUCAUUAAUCAAGAACGAAAGUUUGAGGUUCGAAGGCGAUUAGAUACCGCUCUAGUUCAAACCAUAAACGAUGCUAACCAGCAAUCAGCCGUGACUCUGCGUCUUUUCGGGCUUGCGAACCACCUUGUGGGGGUCUCAAAAGACUGAAUUGAUUUUGGUUCGGCUGGCGGCUCUCUCUAUGUACGCGAAGGCUACCGAGUUUUCAAGUUCAUGGGGGAGUAUGGUUGCAAAGCUGAAACUUAAAGGAAUUGACGGAAAGGCACCACCAGGAGUGGAGCUUGCGGCUUAAUUUGACUCAACACGGGGAAACUCACGAGGUUCGGACACUUGCAUGAUUGACAGAUUGAGAGCUCUUUCUUGAUCAAGUGGGUGGUGGUGCAUGGCCGUUCUUAGUUGGUGGAUUGAUUUGUCUGCUUAAUUGCGAUAACGAACGAGACUCUAGCCUACUUUAAAUAUGUAAUAGAAUUUGGCGAUAGACGGUCUUGGUUUUGACUUCAUGUCGGCCAACGAUUCGUUUCUAUUUGCUCAAAUUGCUAUUAGAGCUCUGUGCUCGCUCAAACGGAGCUUCAGCUCAUGCUGAUAGCGAACUUUGACGACACAACCACGAGUUACUUCUUAGAGGGACUCGAGUUGAUAAAUACCAUUCAAACUCAUGAAGUGGAGCGAUAACAGGUCUGUUAUGCCCUAAGAUAUCCUCGGCUGCACGCGUGCUACACUGUUAGAGACAGCGGGCACAUUGGCGUGAAGCCUUCCUCCUUGGUGCGAAAGCAUGUCUGAAGGGACUCACUUAUGGUGGUCCACUUCAGUCGGGGAAUCCGGUGAACCUCUGUGAGAUUGACUCGCAAGAGUUGAAUUGAAACGUGAUUGGGAUAGGGGAUUGAAAUUAUUGCCCUUGAACGAGGAAUUCCAAGUAUUGGCGAGUCAUCCAGCUCGUCGAGAUUACGUCCCUGCCCUUUGUACACACCGCCCGUCGCUACUACCGAUUGGAUGUAUUGGUGAGGACUUUGGAGAUGGCUAAUUGUCGGGCUCUCAUGGGCUUGAUGAUCGCGCUCAUCGAAGCUGUUCGAACUGAUUCAUCUAGAGGAAGUAAAAGUCGUAA